RNAcentral lists this ribosomal RNA (484 nucleotides) under uncultured bacterium. RNAcentral's name for it is "partial 16S ribosomal RNA". It matches the Rfam family "Bacterial small subunit ribosomal RNA", at positions 30 to 507 of the family's 1533-position model. The record is from RNAcentral.
AUUGAACGCUGGCGGCAGGCCUAACGCAUGCCAGUCGAGCGGAUGAAGGGAGCUUGCUCCUGGAUUCAGCGGCGGACGGGUGAGUAAUGCCUAGGAAUCUGCCUGGUAGUGGGGGAUAACGUCCGGAAACGGGCGCUAAUACCGCAUACGUCCUGAGGGAGAAAGUGGGGGAUCUUCGGACCUCACGCUAUCAGAUGAGCCUAGGUCGGAUUAGCUAGUUGGUGGGGUAAAGGCCUACCAAGGCGACGAUCCGUAACUGGUCUGAGAGGAUGAUCAGUCACACUGGAACUGAGACACGGUCCAGACUCCUACGGGAGGCAGCAGUGGGGAAUAUUGGACAAUGGGCGAAAGCCUGAUCCAGCCAUGCCGCGUGUGUGAAGAAGGUCUUCGGAUCGUAAAGCACUUUAAGUUGGGAGGAAGGGCAGUAAGUUAAUACCUUGCUGUUUUGACGUUACCAACAGAAUAAGCACCGGCUAACUUCGUG